AGUCGAGCGAUCUCUUCGGAGAGAGCGGCGGACGGGUGAGUAACGCGUGGGUAACCUGCCCUGUACACACGGAUAACAUACCGAAAGGUAUACUAAUACGGGAUAACAUACGAAAGUCGCAUGGCUUUUGUAUCAAAGCUCCGGCGGUACAGGAUGGACCCGCGUCUGAUUAGCUAGUUGGUAAGGUAAUGGCUUACCAAGGCAACGAUCAGUAGCCGACCUGAGAGGGUGAUCGGCCACACUGGAACUGAGACACGGUCCAGACUCCUACGGGAGGCAGCAGUGGGGAAUAUUGCACAAUGGGCGAAAGCCUGAUGCAGCAACGCCGCGUGAGCGAUGAAGGCCUUCGGGUCGUAAAGCUCUGUCCUCAAGGAAGAUAAUGACGGUACUUGAGGAGGAAGCCCCGGCUAACUACGUGCCAGCAGCCGCGGUAAUACGUAGGGGGCUAGCGUUAUCCGGAAUUACUGGGCGUAAAGGGUGCGUAGGUGGUUUUUUAAGUCAGAAGUGAAAGGCUACGGCUCAACCGUAGUAAGCUUUUGAAACUAGAGAACUUGAGUGCAGGAGAGGAGAGUAGAAUUCCUAGUGUUAGCGGUGAAAUGCGUAGAUAUUUGGAGGAAUACCAGUAGCGAAGGCGGCUCUCUGGACUGUAACUGACACUGAGGCACGAAAGCGUGGGGAGCAAACAGGAUUAGAUACCCUGGUAGUCCACGCCGUAAACGAUGAGUACUAGGUGUCGGGGGUUACCCCCCUCGGUGCCGCAGCUAACGCAUUAAGUACUCCGCCUGGGAAGUACGCUCGCAAGAGUGAAACUCAAAGGAAUUGACGGGGACCCGCACAAGUAGCGGAGCAUGUGGUUUAAUUCGAAGCAACGCGAAGAACCUUACCUAAGCUUGACAUCCCACUGACCUCUCCCUAAUCGGAGAUUUCCCUUCGGGGACAGUGGUGACAGGUGGUGCAUGGUUGUCGUCAGCUCGUGUCGUGAGAUGUUGGGUUAAGUCCCGCAACGAGCGCAACCCUUGCCUUUAGUUGCCAGCAUUAAGUUGGGCACUCUAGAGGGACUGCCGAGGAUAACUCGGAGGAAGGUGGGGAUGACGUCAAAUCAUCAUGCCCCUUAUGCUUAGGGCUACACACGUGCUACAAUGGGUGGUACAGAGGGUUGCCAAGCCGCGAGGUGGAGCUAAUCCCUUAAAGCCAUUCUCAGUUCGGAUUGUAGGCUGAAACUCGCCUACAUGAAGCUGGAGUUACUAGUAAUCGCAGAUCAGAAUGCUGCGGUGAAUGCGUUCCCGGGUCUUGUACACACCGCCCGUCACACCAUGGAAGUUGGGGGCGCCCGAAGCCGGUUAGCUAACCUUUAGGAAGCGGCCGUCGA
Molecule: ribosomal RNA, 1369 nt
Filed under: Paraclostridium bifermentans
Lineage: Bacteria; Bacillati; Bacillota; Clostridia; Peptostreptococcales; Peptostreptococcaceae
Description: [Clostridium] bifermentans 16S ribosomal RNA
Rfam family: Bacterial small subunit ribosomal RNA
Source: RNAcentral